CCGUUGGUGAACCAGCGGAGGGAUCAUU
This 28-nucleotide ribosomal RNA is filed under the name Fusarium oxysporum. RNAcentral's name for it is "partial 18S ribosomal RNA". Lineage: Eukaryota; Fungi; Ascomycota; Sordariomycetes; Hypocreales; Nectriaceae. The record is from RNAcentral. RNAcentral also lists the same sequence under 5 other names.